Molecule: ribosomal RNA, 468 nt
Filed under: uncultured bacterium
Lineage: Bacteria
Description: partial 16S ribosomal RNA
Rfam family: Bacterial small subunit ribosomal RNA
Source: RNAcentral
GACGAACGCUGGCGGCGUGCUUAACACAUGCAAGUCGAACGGAAAGGCCCUGCUUUUGUGGGGUGCUCGAGUGGCGAACGGGUGAGUAACACGUGAGUAACCUGCCCUUGACUUUGGGAUAACUUCAGGAAACUGGGGCUAAUACCGGAUAGGAGCUCCUGCUGCAUGGUGGGGGUUGGAAAGUUUCGGCGGUUGGGGAUGGACUCGCGGCUUAUCAGCUUGUUGGUGGGGUAGUGGCUUACCAAGGCUUUGACGGGUAGCCGGCCUGAGAGGGUGACCGGCCACAUUGGGAAGGAGAGAAGGCCCAGAGUACGACGGGAGGCAGCAGUGGGGAAGAGUGCAAAAUGGGCGGAAGCCGGAGGCAGCAACGCCGCGUGCGGGAGGACGGCCUGCGGGUUGGAAACCGCAGGCGCCUGUGACGAAGCGUGAGUGACGGUAAGGGGUAAAGAAGCACCGGCUAACUACGUG